Molecule: ribosomal RNA, 458 nt
Filed under: uncultured bacterium
Lineage: Bacteria
Description: partial 16S ribosomal RNA
Rfam family: Bacterial small subunit ribosomal RNA
Source: RNAcentral
CCUACGGGUGGCAGCAGUGAGGAAUAUUGGGCAAUGGGCGAGAGCCUGAACCAGCCAAGCCGCGUGAGGGAGUACUGCCCUCUGGGUUUUAAACCCUUUUUGUCGGGGAGCAAAAGCCGGACGUGUCCGGAUGUGAGAGUACCCGAAGAAAAAGCAUCGGCUAAGUCCGUGCCAGCAGCCGCGGUAUUACGGGGGGUGCGAGCGUUAUCGGGAUUGAUUGGGUUAAAGGGGUGCGAAGGCGGAUGUUUAAGUCAGCGGUCAAAUCGUGGGGCUAAACCUCAUCCAGCCGUGGAAACUGGGGAUCUAGAGUGUGCGAGAGGUAUGCGGAAUGCGUGGUGUAGCGGUGAAAUGCGUAGAUAUCACGCAGAACCCCGAUUGCGAAGGCAGCUUACCGGUGCACAACUGACGCUCAGGCACGAAAGCGUGGGUAGCGAACAGGAUUAGAUACCCUAGUAGUC